UCCUUGCUCACGUGCAAGAGUACAGCACUGAUGUGGACUCUUGGAGGAUGAAACAGAGGACAGCAUCAGGUUAGUACAAUCACCUCUGCUGCACCCCAAACAGCGAUGUUACUAUCGGGGGUCUUUGCAAAAUCUGCAAAAACCCAGAACGGGAAAGAGACACUUUAAUCGUCUUUCUAUUCAGUUAUACAUUUGAUUACUAAAACUAAAUGUUAUCAGUCUGAG
Pelobates cultripes (western spadefoot toad) is the source of this 225-nucleotide non-coding RNA. Lineage: Eukaryota; Metazoa; Chordata; Amphibia; Anura; Pelobatidae. The record is from the annotation of a GenBank genome assembly.